Molecule: ribosomal RNA, 301 nt
Filed under: uncultured bacterium
Lineage: Bacteria
Description: partial 16S ribosomal RNA
Rfam family: Bacterial small subunit ribosomal RNA
Source: RNAcentral
CAGCCGCCGCGGUAAUACGGAGGAUCCAAGCGUUAUCCGGAAUCAUUGGGUUUAAAGGGUCCGUAGGCGGUCUUGUAAGUCAGUGGUGAAAGCCCAUCGCUCAACGGUGGAACGGCCAUUGAUACUGCAGGACUUGAAUUAUUGGGAAGUAACUAGAAUAUGUAGUGUAGCGGUGAAAUGCUUAGAGAUUACAUGGAAUACCAAUUGCGAAGGCAGGUUACUACCAAUUGAUUGACGCUGAUGGACGAAAGCGUGUGUAGCGAACAGGAUUAGAUACCCCGGUAGUCCCUGUCUCUUAUAC